CAGGCUUAACACAUGCAAGUCGAGGGGCAGCAUGGUCUUAGCUUGCUAAGGCCGAUGGCGACCGGCGCACGGGUGAGUAACACGUAUCCAACCUGCCGUCUACUCUUGGACAGCCUUCUGAAAGGAAGAUUAAUACAAGAUGGCAUCAUGAGUCCGCAUGUUCACAUGAUUAAAGGUAUUCCGGUAGACGAUGGGGAUGCGUUCCAUUAGAUAGUAGGCGGGGUAACGGCCCACCUAGUCUUCGAUGGAUAGGGGUUCUGAGAGGAAGGUCCCCCACAUUGGAACUGAGACACGGUCCAAACUCCUACGGGAGGCAGCAGUGAGGAAUAUUGGUCAAUGGGCGAGAGCCUGAACCAGCCAAGUAGCGUGAAGGAUGACUGCCCUAUGGGUUGUAAACUUCUUUUAUAAAGGAAUAAAGUCGGGUAUGGAUACCCGUUUGCAUGUACUUUAUGAAUAAGGAUCGGCUAACUCCGUGCCAGCAGCCGCGGUAAUACGGAGGAUCCGAGCGUUAUCCGGAUUUAUUGGGUUUAAAGGGAGCGUAGAUGGAUGUUUAAGUCAGUUGUGAAAGUUUGCGGCUCAACCGUAAAAUUGCAGUUGAUACUGGAUAUCUUGAGUGCAGUUGAGGCAGGCGGAAUUCGUGGUGUAGCGGUGAAAUGCUUAGAUAUCACGAAGAACUCCGAUUGCGAAGGCAGCCUGCUAAGCUGCAACUGACAUUGAGGCUCGAAAGUGUGGGUAUCAAACAGGAUUAGAUACCCUGGUAGUCCACACGGUAAACGAUGAAUACUCGCUGUUUGCGAUAUACUGCAAGCGGCCAAGCGAAAGCGUUAAGUAUUCCACCUGGGGAGUACGCCGGCAACGGUGAAACUCAAAGGAAUUGACGGGGGCCCGCACAAGCGGAGGAACAUGUGGUUUAAUUCGAUGAUACGCGAGGAACCUUACCCGGGCUUAAAUUGCAGAUGAAUUACGGUGAAAGCCGUAAGCCGCAAGGCAUCUGUGAAGGUGCUGCAUGGUUGUCGUCAGCUCGUGCCGUGAGGUGUCGGCUUAAGUGCCAUAACGAGCGCAACCCUUGUUGUCAGUUACUAACAGGUUCCGCUGAGGACUCUGACAAGACUGCCAUCGUAAGAUGUGAGGAAGGUGGGGAUGACGUCAAAUCCGCACGGCCCUUACGUCCGGGGCUACACACGUGUUACAAUGGGGGGUACAGAGGGCCGCUACCACGCGAGUGGAUGCCAAUCCCCAAAACCUCUCUCAGUUCGGACUGGAGUCUGCAACCCGACUCCACGAAGCUGGAUUCGCUAGUAAUCGCGCAUCAGCCACGGCGCGGUGAAUACGUUCCCGGGCCUUGUACACACCGCCCGUCAAGCCAUGGGAGCCGGGGGUACCUGAAGUGCGUAACCGCGAGGAGCGCCCUAGGGUAAAACUGGUGACUGG
Molecule: ribosomal RNA, 1431 nt
Filed under: uncultured organism
Description: 16S ribosomal RNA
Rfam family: Bacterial small subunit ribosomal RNA
Source: RNAcentral